Molecule: ribosomal RNA, 478 nt
Filed under: uncultured bacterium
Lineage: Bacteria
Description: partial 16S ribosomal RNA
Rfam family: Bacterial small subunit ribosomal RNA
Source: RNAcentral
GACGAACGCUGGCGGCGUGCUUAACACAUGCAAGUCGAACGGUAAGGCCCUUCGGGGUACACGAGUGGCGAACGGGUGAGUAACACGUGGGUGAUCUGCCCUGCACUUCGGGAUAAGCCUGGGAAACUGGGUCUAAUACCGGAUAGGACUCCGGACUGCAUGGUCUGGGGUGGAAAGCUUUUGCGGUGUGGGAUGGGCCCGCGGCCUAUCAGCUUGUUGGUGGGGUGAUGGCCUACCAAGGCGACGACGGGUAGCCGGCCUGAGACGGUGACCGGCCACACUGGGACUGAGAUACGGACCAGAGUCCUACGGGAGGCAGCAGGGGGGAAUAUUGCAGAAUGGGCGGAAGCCUGAUGCAGCGACGCCGCGUGAGGGAUGACGGCCUUCGGGUUGGAAACCUCUUUCAGCAUCGACGAAGCGAAAGUGACGGUAGGUGCAGAAGAAGGACCGGCCAACUACGUGCCAGCCGCCGCCGUAA